Camellia sinensis is the source of this 460-nucleotide non-coding RNA. NCBI's taxonomy places the organism in Eukaryota, Viridiplantae, Streptophyta, Magnoliopsida, Ericales, Theaceae. The record is from RefSeq and is a predicted model, not a curated record.
GUCCAGGAGAAGAAAUAGUUGUGGAACCUGUUCUUGUUUGUGGCAAAGACAAAAGGAUUCGAGAAGAUGAUGACAAGUUUAUUACCACUGGAUUUUAUGUUAGUAUGGGGCUGGGUUUCACGUUUGGGUUUUGGACAGUUUUUGGGACCAUGAUUUUUAACAAACCAUCUAGACACUUAUUUUGAGUUCUUGGACAUCAUAAAGAGUUGGUUUUAUGUAACAACUUCAUUGAAUAUGGUUAGAUUGCAAAGGAAUUUUCAGAGGUAAAUGGUCUAUGUUGCUAUCUUCAGCCCAUUGGUCUCAAGAUCUAUCUAUAUGGAAGUUAUGCUACACCUGAGUGAGACACGAGCAGCGAGUUCAGAGUAUAUGAAGCAAAGCUAUCAGCACCAACCGUUCUCUAUGUAUUCUUGAAACGUUGAAAUAACUUCAUAAAUAGUUAUUUUCAUUUGUAAUUAUGCUG